UCCCCCUCAAGCUAGAGCAUAGAUAUUAAUCAUGCCCAACGUGUUACAAAGAUAUUCCACUCGAGUUCCAUUUAAAGACUUCGUGAACAUAUCACCCAAUUGCUCUCAUGUCUUCACAUAUCCAGUAGAAAUCAUGUUCUCUUGAAUCUUCUCAUGAACAAAGUGGCAGUCAACCUCAAUGUGUUUCAUCUGUUCAUGGUACACUGGAUUUGAGGCAAUGUGUAGAGCAGCCUGAUUAUCACAACAAAGUUUUGCCGGAGACAAACGGUUCAAACCAAUCUCAACUAAAAGGUGAUGAAUCCAUAGUAUUUCACAUGCAGAUUGAGCCAUAGAUCUAAACUCAGAUUCUGCACUAGAUCGAGAUACAACAGUUUGUUUCUUACUCCUCACGAUACCAGAUUUCCACCAAAAAAACGCAAUAGCCAGUAGUAGAUCUUCAAUCAAUUCUUGAUCCAGCCCAAUCAGCAUUUGCAAAACACUCAAUACGAGUAUGUUUGUGGUCGCUAUACAAAACGCCAAGGCUAGGAGCUCCUUUCAAGUAGCACAAGAUCUGUUCCAAAGCUGCCCAAUGUUUGAUUGUCGGUGCAUACAUGAAUUGACUGUUGGUACUGACUGCAUAUGCAAUAUCUGGAUGGGUCACUGUGAGGUAGUUCAAUUUUCCAACCAAUUUUCUGUAUCUUUCUGGAUUAUCAAAAGGAUCACCAUCAUCCUUAGUAAGAUGAACAUUAGGAACCAUUGGUGUGCGACAUGGUUUGGCUCCCAAUUAUUCAGUUUCUGCAAGUAGAACAAGUACAUACUUUCUUUGGGACAAGAAAAUUCCUUUCUUGCUUCUUGCUAUUUCG
RNAcentral lists this long non-coding RNA (842 nucleotides) under Solanum tuberosum (potato). Its description in RNAcentral is "long non-coding RNA (STUB_LNC007918)". Lineage: Eukaryota; Viridiplantae; Streptophyta; Magnoliopsida; Solanales; Solanaceae. The record is from RNAcentral.